GAUGAACGCUGGCGGCGUGCCUAAUACAUGCAAGUCGAACGAAACUUCUUUAUCACCGAGUGCUUGCACUCACCGAUAAAGAGUUGAGUGGCGAACGGGUGAGUAACACGUGGGCAACCUGCCCCAAAGAGGGGGAUAACACUUGGAAACAGGUGCUAAUACCGCAUAACCAUAGUUACCGCAUGGUAACUAUGUAAAAGGUGGCUAUACUACCGCUUUUGGAUGGGCCCGCGGCGCAUUAGCUAGUUGGUAGGGUAAAGGCUUACCAAGGCAAUGAUGCGUAGCCGAAUUGAGAGGUUGAUCGGCCACAUUGGGACUGAGACACGGCCCACACUCCUACGGGAGGCAGCAGUAGGGAAUCUUCCACAGUGGGCGAAAGCCUGAUGGAGCAACGCCGCGUGGGUGAAGAAGGUCUUCGGAUCGUAAAACCCUGUUGUUAGAGAAGAAAGUGCGUGAGAGUAACUGUUCACGUUUCGACGGUAUCUAACCAGAAAGCCACUGCUAACUACGUG
RNAcentral lists this ribosomal RNA (512 nucleotides) under uncultured bacterium. Its description in RNAcentral is "partial 16S ribosomal RNA". It matches the Rfam family "Bacterial small subunit ribosomal RNA", at positions 28 to 507 of the family's 1533-position model. The record is from RNAcentral.